This 876-nucleotide ribosomal RNA is filed under the name uncultured crenarchaeote. RNAcentral describes it as "bacterial SSU rRNA". It matches the Rfam family "Archaeal small subunit ribosomal RNA", at positions 21 to 903 of the family's 1478-position model. The record is from RNAcentral. Lineage: Archaea; Thermoproteati; Thermoproteota.
ACCUGACUGCUAUCGGAUUGAUACUAAGCCAUGCGAGUCAUUGUAGCAAUACAAGGCAUACGGCUCAGUAACGCGUAGUCAACCUAACCUAUGGACGGGAAUAACCUCGGGAAACUGAGAAUAAUGCCCGAUAGAACAUUAUGCCUGGAAUGGUUUAUGUUCCAAAUGAUUUAUCGCCGUAGGAUGGGACUGCGGCCUAUCAGUUUGUUGGUGAGGUAAUGGCCCACCAAGACUAUUACAGGUACGGGCUCUGAGAGGAGUAGCCCGGAGAUGGGUACUGAGACACGGACCCAGGCCCUAUGGGGCGCAGCAGGCGAGAAAACUUUGCAAUGUGCGAAAGCACGACAAGGUUAAUCCGAGUGAUUUCUGCUAAAGAGAUCUUUUGUUAGUCCUAGAAACACUAACGAAUAAGGGGUGGGCAAGUUCUGGUGUCAGCCGCCGCGGUAAAACCAGCACCUCAAGUGGUCAGGAUGAUUAUUGGGCCUAAAGCAUCCGUAGCCGGCUCUGUAAGUUUUCGGUUAAAUCUGUACGCUCAACGUACAGGCUGCCGGGAAUACUGCAGAACUAGGGAGUGGGAGAGGUAGACGGUACUCGGUAGGAAGUGGUAAAAUGCUUUGAUCUAUCGAUGACCACCUGUGGCGAAGGCGGUCUACCAGAACACGUCCGACGGUGAGGGAUGAAAGCUGGGGGAGCAAACCGGAUUAGAUACCCGGGUAGUCCCAGCUGUAAACUAUGCAAACUCAGUGAUGCAUUGGCUUGUGGCCAAUGCAGUGCUGCAGGGAAGCCGUUAAGUUUGCCGCCUGGGAAGUACGUACGCAAGUAUGAAACUUAAAGGAAUUGGCGGGGGAGCACCACAAGGGGUGAAGCCUGCGGUUC